Molecule: ribosomal RNA, 523 nt
Filed under: uncultured Acinetobacter sp.
Lineage: Bacteria; Pseudomonadati; Pseudomonadota; Gammaproteobacteria; Moraxellales; Moraxellaceae
Description: bacterial SSU rRNA
Rfam family: Bacterial small subunit ribosomal RNA
Source: RNAcentral
AGAGUUUGAUCAUGGCUCAGAUUGAACGCUGGCGGCAGGCUUAACACAUGCAAGUCGAGCGGGCGGGGUUGCUUCGGUAACUGAGCUAGCGACGGACGGGUGAGUAAUGCUUAGGAAUCUGCCUAUUAGUGGGGGACAACAUUCCGAAAGGGAUGCUAAUACCGCAUACGUCCUACGGGAGAAAGCAGGGGAUCACUUGUGACCUUGCGCUAAUAGAUGAGCCUAAGUCGGAUUAGCUAGUUGGUGGGGUAAAGGCCUACCAAGGCGACGAUCUGUAGCGGGUCUGAGAGGAUGAUCCGCCACACUGGGACUGAGACACGGCCCAGACUCCUACGGGAGGCAGCAGUGGGGAAUAUUGGACAAUGGGGGGAACCCUGAUCCAGCCAUGCCGCGUGUGUGAAGAAGGCCUUUUGGUUGUAAAGCACUUUAAGUGGGGAGGAGGCUUACCUGGUUAAUACCUGGGCUAAGUGGACGUUACCCACAGAAUAAGCACCGGCUAACUCUGUGCCAGCAGCCGCGGUAA